AGAGAGAGAGGGACAGAGAGACAGAGGGAGAAGCAGGCUCCUCACAGGGAGCCUGAUAUGGGACUCGAUCCCUGGACCGGGAUCACACACUGAGCCAAAGGCAGAAGCUCAACUGUUGAGCCACUCAGGUGUCCCAAAAGGCUAAAUUUUGAUCAAACCCAGAGUCUUUACAAAGUAAAAUCAGGUUUUUGAUCUACUCAAAUAAUCAAAAUUUAUGUAUUUUUUAUAGUUCUUGCCAUGCAUCAUGCACUUGCUGAAGGCUUAAAUAUAUUCCCUCAUUUAUCUAACUAUUAACCAUCCGUGGAUAGUCUUAUUCCCAUUGACUAUAAGAGACUCAGAGAGAUCAAGCCUCUAGUCCAAUGCCAGCCAGCAAAGUGGUAGAGCAGGGAUCUGAAUCUGAGUUGCCUGGUCCCAGAGCCCAACGUUUUAGUCACUAGUUAUAUCACUGAAAUGACAUGUUGCUCAGAGAUUCCCAAAAUGCACCAAACAACUGAGUAUAAACUAUAAAUUCAGGGACUCCAGUGCUCUUAAGGUAAGUGUCCCCCCAUUUGAAACAAUUUUAAAAUUCAGUGCAUUACCCUCCUGUUCCUUAUUAUUUAUCUGCCAGACAAAUGUAGUUGUCACAGAGCCAAUUAGUCUAUGUGAAUAUGACAAAUAUUCAAAUUAUACAUAUACAUAGCAGAGCAAAUACACUUCACAUUUGUAAUAUGAUGGCUUAUUUCUUCUGCAAACUUUUGUUUGGCGUGACAAAAGAUGUGCUGAAAACAAAUAUAAAUUAUGGAGGAAUUUGUUCAAUAAGUAUUCGCUUAAUAACUACCAUAUGUCAGCAACCAGGCUAGAGUGUAAAAAGUGGUAGGAUACAUUCUUACCCACACAGUCUAUUGGAGAGUCCAUCUUAGUAGGUACAAUGAAUUAACUGCUGCAAUUUGAAGAACACCAAUAAGGAGGUCAUGCCAACAUGUCCUGCCAUUUGUGUUUAGGACCAGUGACCAUCUCCUUGGACCAUUUUUCUUAACGUCCUCCAAGAAAUAGAUGCUACAACCAAGAUUCAUAGAAUUAAAUACACAACAAAAAAAUCCUCAGCAAUGUUUUAUGGUCCAAAGCACAAUGUGUAACUUAUAGCCCACUUAGAGAAAUCAGUUACAGUGAGAGAACACACCGUGAACUUAUCAUUUAUUUUCUUUUUUUUAAGACUUAUUUUUUUAAUAAGUCUUUUUUUAUUUUAUUUAUUUAUGAUAGUCAUCACAGAGAGAGAGAGAGAGAGGCAGACUGUAAAUAAGCAAGCAGUUCUGCAGGUCACAGGAUAUACUGAAAGGACAACCAGAAAGAAAAUCAACAAGAACACAAGGAUGGCGUGAAUGGAGAAGCACUUUCUGGAGGAAAUUACAUUAAUACUCUUUAUCUGAAGAUUCUUUCCAUAAAUCCUCUUGGUACUGUACACUUAGCUAGAACACUGAUUUGGUACCUGAUAACGGAUAUGAAAGACAUAGCUUAAAUGGCAAGUGGGACAGAAAUGUGAAGGCACAUUUUUAUUUAACAUUAUUUUGUACUUUUCCCCAAAGCAAUGUGGAAAUCACUGCAUCAGUUCAUGAUUACAUACAAAUAUUUUACAAAGCAAAACAGACUAGGACAUUAUGUUGUUUUCAAGUUUAACCCCAAAUCCUUUCCCAGUGUUAAUUAGAGAGUAACAAGUCUAUACAAGGUGUUGUUUAUCUGUUAUUUGCAAGCAUUAUGAUUUGCCAAUACCAGCAACUGUUAAAAGAAGCCCUUCUUACUGAGACAGCAUGAAGUAAAAGUACUUCAUUGUACCUAAUAAUGUUGCUUAAUCAAGCAACCAGUGAGAGUUUCAAAGGAGAGUAGCUAAUUUUAACAAAUAAAAAUAUAAAGUGUAAAAUUAACUACCAGCAGCAAAACGAAUCAUGUGUUCUCAGUCACUUAGGAAGGGGCAACCUUGCCUCAGAGCUGUAUGUGCCCAUUUGGAUUAAUACCUUAGAGGUAUUAGCAGGUGUGAAAACACAAACAUUACGAAAAUGUAAUACUUGUAACUAUAGCCUUGUUUAGAUAUAUUCAUUAAGGUAGAAAACCAAAAUGACUUUAUAUAGAACACUAUUCUCGGGGCACCUGGGUGGCUCAGUGGUUGAGUGCCUUUGGCUCAAGGCGUGAUCCCGAGGUCCUGGGAUGGAGUUCCACGUCUGGCUCCCUCCAGGGAGCCUGCCUCUCUCUGUGUGUCUCUCAUGAAUGGAUAAAUAAAAUCUUUAAAAAAUAAAAAAUUUUUAAAAAGAACACUAUUCUCAUCUUCAUUUUGCAUGAGAUAAAUCAAGUGUACUAUGAAUUCAGUGCAGUAAUGGGCACGUAUCCAUUUUAUUUUCUUUAUAAAUAUUCCCUCAAAAAUGAUGUGGAUAUGCCUUAAAAUGGCUAGCAAUCU
This 2425-nucleotide long non-coding RNA is filed under the name Canis lupus familiaris (dog). Its description in RNAcentral is "lncRNA (ENSCAFG00000056754.1, ENSCAFG00805010544.1, ENSCAFG00845007211.1)". The record is from RNAcentral. Lineage: Eukaryota; Metazoa; Chordata; Mammalia; Carnivora; Canidae.